This 577-nucleotide ribosomal RNA is filed under the name uncultured bacterium. RNAcentral's name for it is "bacterial SSU rRNA". It matches the Rfam family "Bacterial small subunit ribosomal RNA", at positions 28 to 698 of the family's 1533-position model. The record is from RNAcentral.
AGUGAACGCUGGCGGUAGGCCUAACACAUGCAAGUCGAACGAGUGGCGGACGGGUGAGGAAUACAUCGGAAUCUACUCUGUCGUGGGGGAUAACGUAGGGAAACUUACGCUAAUACCGCAUACGAUUGAAUGAGCCGAUGUCGGAUUAGCUAGUUGGCGGGGUAAAGGUCCACCAAGGCGACGAUCCGUAGCUGGUCUGAGAGGAUGAUCAGCCACACUGGAACUGAGACACGGUCCAGACUCCUACGGGAGGCAGCAGUGGGGAAUAUUGGACAAUGGGCGCAAGCCUGAUCCAGCCAUACCGCGUGGGUGAAGAAGGCCUUCGGGUUGUAAAGCCCUUUUGUUGGGAAAGCGGCACCCAAAGAAUAAGCACCGGCUAACUUCGUGCCAGCAGCCGCGGUAAUACGAAGGGUGCAAGCGUUACUCGGAAUUACUGGGCGUAAAGCGUGCGUAGGUGGUCGUUUAAGUCCGUUGUGAAAGCCCUGGGCUCAACCUGGGAACUGCAGUGGAUACUGGGCGACUAGAUGUGGUAGAGGGUAGCGGAAUUCCUGGUGUAGCAGUGAAAUGCGUAGAGAUC